UGAGUGUAAGUGAUGAGUUGCAUACUGGAGCAGACAUCUCGUUUGACGUCUGCUUCCUGACCUCGUUCCUAAUGGGAGCACCUGGAGACUGGAACAAGUGCACAGGGGCCAUCUGAUACACU
Molecule: small nucleolar RNA, 122 nt
Organism: Lineus longissimus
Lineage: Eukaryota; Metazoa; Nemertea; Pilidiophora; Heteronemertea; Lineidae
Product: small nucleolar RNA SNORD67
Exons: 1
Source: RefSeq, a predicted model, not a curated record